GCCGGGCAAAGUGGCGAAUGCCUGUAAUCCCAGAGGCUCGGGAGGCUGAGGCAGGAGGAUCCUGAGUUCAAAUCCAGCCUCAGCAACAGCAAGGUGUUUAGCAACUCAGUGAGACCCUGUCUCUA
This 125-nucleotide small RNA is filed under the name Marmota monax (woodchuck). Lineage: Eukaryota; Metazoa; Chordata; Mammalia; Rodentia; Sciuridae. The record is from RNAcentral.